CCGAGGGGCUGCUCUCAUGGACACCAUCAGGUGCUGGGAAGCAGGAACCACCAGGACCUGGACAGAGUCCCCAGUGACCGGCCUGGCAGACAGAGGAGCCCUCAGCUACAGCAUCACAAACAACGGGUGGGGAUACCACAUGGAGCAUUUUGAGGAGUGCUGGCCAGGUAUUUUGUAGAAUGUUCCUCAACUGGGAUUUGGCAGAUGCUUCUCAUCCUUAGUCUUGGCUUGUGUGUGUUUUGAGGAGGAGGACCACAGAGCUUAAGAAUCAUUCUCAGCACUCUGUAUCAGGCACGCAUUCUCUCAAGAUGACUUGCCGCUAUUGAAGUUGACUUUGAUCACCUGGCUGAGGAGGAUCAGAGGACUUCUGUCCUGAGAUUGCCAGAAAAAUGAUGAACAGAAAAUUAUACACAACCGAACAGGCCCAACUUUCAAAUGGACUGAGAAUGACCCACACAAGUUCCACCGAGGCCAAGGGUGACCUGCAGCCAGCGACAGGGAAAGACUGCCACUUACUGGCGGCCUCCGGAACUGGAAGGAGUGUACUGACAAUUGUAUCUUUCGCAAGCUCUUAACCUUUAUACCGUCAAUAAAAACCCCAUUAACAUUUAAAAGGGAUGUUUCUGGGUGUCCACUUGGAAUAAGAGUUGGAAAACACUCCAAGAAAUGGAUUCUGUAUUAAUAUCACAUCUGUCCCAGAUCUCCAACACUGUUCACUUUCCUUCCACGGUGCCAACACCAAGCUAGCUGAUAGGUGGGAACAGGGCAGCUCUGCGGUUGGCCCCCAAGAGCCAGGGAGUCCCCCAAGCUGACCCCCUGGGGUGGCAGUGGCACCUAACAAGAACUUCCACCUUGUUUUCCCUCUCUCCGUUUUGUCCUUUUGGACUCUGCUCACGCAUCACAUCCAGAAAGUUCCCUAAGCUCUCCAGUGGGAUGAGAACUCUGCUCUGUGCUCCUG
RNAcentral lists this long non-coding RNA (958 nucleotides) under Homo sapiens (human). Its description in RNAcentral is "HSALNT0384708". Lineage: Eukaryota; Metazoa; Chordata; Mammalia; Primates; Hominidae. The record is from RNAcentral.